UUGUCUGACUGACACCCAAGAUUGCCUUGUAAAUUCCCUCUGAAUAAAUAUUUGACUACUUACCAACCUUGAAGGGUCUGCCUCUUUCUUUGGCCUGAGCUUAUGAAGAGCAGUUCUUGGUUCUGACAAAGUGUUUUCCCAAUACAAAGGGUUUAGACCCUCUAAGGAUGCAUAACUAGCCAAGGCAGAAAACCAGUCUCUUUGCCACAUAAGAUUUUAAUUCCAACAUUACUCCACAAUUAAUUGAUAAUAUACUAUAUCAUCUUUAUUUUUACUAUUGUUAGUUAAAAAUGUGGGUUUUUUGUUUGUUUGUUUCUUUCAAGUCAAGAAUCUACUAUAGCUGUUUAUGGUCUAUCAUAUUAGAUCUAAAUUCCAGUUGUUAUUUAAAUUUUUCAAUCUAGUAUCACCUAAUAUGAAUUAUCUCUCCAAUUAAUUUGGUUUCAGGUUAUUUUUCACUGAAGCCAGGGAGUACAAAUUAGGUCUGAAACCUGUAAGUUUUAAAACAGGGUCUGCCUUGGGAAAUCUAGGGCAUCAGGUUCUUAGAUGAUAGGACAAUGCAAGCCAGGCAGUAGUGUCUUAGCUAAGCACCCUCUGAGCCAGUGAGCAGUUGGCUCUAUUUAAAUCAGUUAAAAAUAGACUAACCAGCAGUUAAAAUUUUCAGCACAGCAAAAAGCAGUGAGGACAAGGUUUAUUCUUUGAUCUCUAAAGGUUUGCUUCAUUGAGCCUGAUAAUGGUGCAUGACGUGAAGAAUGUUAGCUAUACUGUGGUCUCACAUUACCUUGGUUUUACUUAGUCAUCAGUGUAAUUUAUCUAAGGGCAACUUGCCGCUAAAAAAAGAGCUCAGCUUGAAGGCUUCUAGCUUACACAGCAGGAGUUUCUGGAAAUUUUACUGCUGGUGGUGGUGGAUAGAAGGCAGAGAUAUGGCCAGUAUCAAACGAGAUUAUGUCCUGGGAAUUCAGAGAUUACAGUCUGAAGAAUUCAAGGUUUGACCUCCUUUAAAGAACCUUCAUAUCAUCUUGCCCUGCAUGAAAUGUAUUAGGAGCCUUCCCUCUGUUCUUUGAUAAUAUUUUUCAAAGAUAUUAUCAUUUACAAAAUGGAAUUCCAAUGACUUGUUCAUAUGUCCAUCUUCAAGUGGUCUGGGAAUACCAAUGACUUGUUCAUGUCCAUCUUCAAGUGGUCUGGGAAUACCAAUGACUUGUUCAUAUGUCCAUCUUCAAGUGGUCUGGGAAUACCAAUGACUUGUUCAUAUGUCCACCUUCAAGUGGUCUAUCAAGUAAGCAUGUACUUAUGCGAGUCUUUCCAGAGGAUAUCAUUAACCUGAGUCAAUAGUUGAGAAAACUAAUCAAAUGGAUGUAAGUCCAUGUUUUUAUUUGUAAAUAAAAGUUUUGCCAAAAAAUUACAUACAAAGAACAAUGUCUCAAGAGACAUGCGAUAAUCAAAAUCCACAAAAUAAUACUUACAUAUAUUUUUGUUUAGAGAUUUGAAUAAAUGAACUACAAUUUAAGGAGAAUAUUGCAUUUCUUUUGAGAUAACCCCUUAAAUUUUACAUUCUGUUUCAAGGC
RNAcentral lists this long non-coding RNA (1562 nucleotides) under Callithrix jacchus (white-tufted-ear marmoset). RNAcentral's name for it is "lncRNA (ENSCJAG00000052080.2)". Lineage: Eukaryota; Metazoa; Chordata; Mammalia; Primates; Cebidae. The record is from RNAcentral.